Molecule: ribosomal RNA, 253 nt
Filed under: uncultured bacterium
Lineage: Bacteria
Description: partial 16S ribosomal RNA
Rfam family: Bacterial small subunit ribosomal RNA
Source: RNAcentral
UACGUAGGGGGCAAGCGUUGUCCGGAUUUAUUGGGCGUAAAGAGCGUGUAGGCGGCUUUACAGGUCCGUUGUGAAAACUCGAGGCUCAACCUCGAGACGCCGGUGGAAACCGUAAGGCUAGAGUCCGGAAGAGGAGAGUGGAAUUCCUGGUGUAGCGGUGAAAUGCGCAGAUAUCAGGAGGAACACCUAUGGCGAAGGCAGCUCUCUGGGACGGUACUGACGCUGAGACGCGAAAGCGUGGGGAGCGAACAGG